Molecule: ribosomal RNA, 492 nt
Filed under: uncultured bacterium
Lineage: Bacteria
Description: partial 16S ribosomal RNA
Rfam family: Bacterial small subunit ribosomal RNA
Source: RNAcentral
AGUGAACGCUGGCGGUAGGCCUAGCACAUGCAAGUCGAACGGCAGCACAGUAAGAGCUUGCUCUUACGGGUGGCGAGUGGCGGACGGGUGAGGAAUACAUCGGAAUCUACUUUUUCGUGGGGGAUAACGUAGGGAAACUUACGCUAAUACCGCAUACGACCUACGGGUGAAAGCAGGGGAUCUUCGGACCUUGCGCGAUUGAAUGAGCCGAUGUCGGAUUAGCUAGUUGGCGGGGUAAAGGCCCACCAAGGCGACGAUCCGUAGCUGGUCUGAGAGGAUGAUCAGCCACACUGGAACUGAGACACGGUCCAGACUCCUACGGGAGGCAGCAGUGGGGAAUAUUGGACAAUGGGCGCAAGCAUGAUCCAGCCAUACCGCGUGGGUGAAGAAGGCCUUCGGGUUGUAAAGCCCUUUUGUCGGGAAAGAAAAGCAGCAGGUUAAUACCCCGCUGUUCUGACGGUACCCAAAGAAUAAGCACCGGCUAACUUCGUG